This 301-nucleotide ribosomal RNA is filed under the name uncultured bacterium. Its description in RNAcentral is "partial 16S ribosomal RNA". It matches the Rfam family "Bacterial small subunit ribosomal RNA", at positions 509 to 807 of the family's 1533-position model. The record is from RNAcentral.
CAGCAGCCGCGGUAAAACGGAGGGUGCAAGCGUUAUCCGGAUUUAUUGGGUUUAAAGGGUCCGUAGGCGGAUCUGUAAGUCAGUGGUGAAAUCUCACAGCUUAACUGUGAAACUGCCAUUGAUACUGCAGGUCUUGAGUAAAUUUGAAGUGGCUGGAAUAAGUAGUGUAGCGGUGAAAUGCAUAGAUAUUACUUAGAACACCAAUUGCGAAGGCAGGUCACUAAGAUUUAACUGACGCUGAUGGACGAAAGCGUGGGGAGCGAACAGGAUUAGAUACCCGUGUAGUCCCUGUCUCUUAUAC